AACUAACGCUGGCGGCGUGCCUAACACAUGCAAGUCGUACGAGAAAGCCGGCUUCGGCUGGUGAGUAAAGUGGCGCACGGGUGAGUAACGCGUGGAUAAUCUGCCCUUAAGUGUGGAAUAACGUACCGAAAGGUGCGCUAAUACCGCAUAAUGCCUGGCAACACAAGUUGUCCGGCCAAAGAAGGCCUCUGUUUACAAGCUUUCGCUUCAGGAUGAGUCCGCGUACCAUUAGCUUGUUGGUGGGGUAAUGGCCUACCAAGGCUGCGAUGGUUAGCUGGUCUGAGAGGAUGAUCAGCCACACUGGAACUGAGACACGGUCCAGACUCCUACGGGAGGCAGCAGUGAGGAAUAUUGCGCAAUGGGGCGAACCCUGACGCAGCAACGCCGCGUGAGUGAGGAAGGUUUUCGGACUGUAAAGCUCUGUCGAGCGGGAAGAAGUGUACCAUGGCUAAUAUCCAUGAUAUUUGACGGUACCGCUAGAGG
This 483-nucleotide ribosomal RNA is filed under the name uncultured bacterium. RNAcentral's name for it is "bacterial SSU rRNA". It matches the Rfam family "Bacterial small subunit ribosomal RNA", at positions 29 to 487 of the family's 1533-position model. The record is from RNAcentral.